RNA transcript from Biomphalaria glabrata, 4999 nucleotides. It is a transcript of the gene named toll-like receptor 4, with no coding region annotated. NCBI's taxonomy places the organism in Eukaryota, Metazoa, Mollusca, Gastropoda, Planorbidae. The transcript has 6 exons. The record is from RefSeq and is a predicted model, not a curated record.
UCUUCAUAAUUUCUUGUAGGCGUUUAAACACUUAACUUAACCGUUACGUAUCACUAAAACGAACAAUCGUGUCUUUGAAGUCCUUCUCUAUACAUGCUUAACCCUAACGUUGUCACGUUAAAUUUCCGUUGGACAAAGAAAAAAAUGAUGCAAGGAAAGCUCGAACAAUAAGAAAAACGUCUUAUGCGAGAAUACAUGGAGUGUAUAAAAAAACAGAUUAUGUGCGUUUUGAAUAAUCGCUUCAUGGUUGAUAUGACAUGUAGGUCAAGUGUUGCCUCUGUUGACAAAACGAAACUGUGCUGUGAUGAUUUGUGUGGAGAUGUCAUUUUUGUUUUCUUGCUUGACUAAGAAAUCAACAAUAUCUUAUAAAUAAAAUAGGUUGAGACUUACACUGUCGCACUUUAUCACUGAUGCGAUAAACAGAAAUGUUUUAAACAUUGAGGACUAGAGCCAAACAACAAGUACAAGAGAACUUUACUUAUUUGUCGCGAGUUUAGUUUAGAGUUUAGUCGCGAUCCUAUAUCUGUAAACUUGUACAGAAAGAUGGUCAGCCCUUUCUUGUGUUUUGCGUCACACGGGCUAAUGACGUCAUUUGUUAGGCGCUUUCGCGAAGACGAAGUUUAAUAGUAACAAAGGGAACUGGAAUGUCGUCUGCGUUCUCUCUCUCUCUCUCUCUCUCUCUUUCUCUCUCUAAAGCCGUCAAGAGUAGUCUGUUUAUUUUGGCUUAUAGUUCGCUAUUCAUUUCCAAAACCUCGUCUAUUCUAUACUAGUUGCGUCAUUGACUAAGUCAAAACGUCCUCUAAUGACGAAACAAAUAACAAAUUUCUAAUCGUGCCAUAACACAUUGCUGAUCUGUCGUCUUCGAAUUUGUCAUCUUUUUUACUCCUUGAUCUGUUGUUACAUCGGGUAAACAUGUGCUAUGUACUAUGAAAUCGAGUUGACAAAUUAGUUCAAAUAAUAUUUAGAAAGAUGAAUACCUUUAUCUAUUGUUGUUUAUAAUAUUUAUAUUCAUGAGUGAUACAUCAUCUGAGUUCAAGCUCUUUAUUGUUCAGACUCAGGAUAAAAAGUCUGACAGUGUUUCGUAGUGACGAUACUUGUAAUUAGAACGUGAACUUAUAUUUGAAAGUGUACAAAAGCAAAUUACUGAGACAAAGUGAACUAUGAAAAUCCUCGUAAAAAGGCAGAAAAUUAAUACGAACAAUAGAACUGUAUUAAUCUUGAACAUUCUUACCUUGUACAGUUAACCACAGGAGAAAAUGUCUGACAUUGUGCUAAAUUUCUUUGUGAAGCUUUUCUUACUGAUGACGUGCUUUGCACUACACUUGAUAAAUAGCUCAUCAAUCUUUACAACACUAUUAGGCAAUGACAAUGUUUCGUUGAACUGCUGCUCUAAUUACCUUAUGGAUGAUGUGCAAGUAGCCAACUGUUCCAACUUGAACUGGACAUUUGUGGACCUUCGAUGUGUGCCAGUGACCACACAAGUGUUGUUACUGGACAGAAAUAAUCUGACUACCUUGACCAAUGGCUCUUUUCAAACACUCACCUCUCUCCGGCAACUUAGCAUUCAGUCUUCGAAUAUUCAUCGAAUUGAGAUUGAUAGCUUUUUAGGUCUCAGCCAGCUACGAAACUUAAACUUAGAAAACAAUAAAUUCAGAGGUGACAACACAUCUUUACAUCCGGAAACAUUUAGACAUGUUACAAAUUUGAAAUAACUUCUUAUUGGAAAGAAUCAGAACAUAUCUAAAAACUUGAAAGAUGCUUUCGUUUAUUUACAGAACCUGUCAACCCUGUCGAUGGAUGGUUCUGAAAAAUUACAAAUAGGAAGGGAAUUCUCAAAUUUGACCCAACUGAACAACCUUACUUUGUAUUGCUCAAAAGUAACGAACGUAACAAACGAAAGUUUUAUAGGCUUGUGGAACUCUAGCUUAAAAACAUUAAGUUUAAUUGAUUUUGAUAACUUGCAAUUUGAUCCAUAUGAUAUGGAUCAAGAUACUUCGCUUUUCAGUGAUGACGCGUUCCAGAAUUUAAACUCGAUGGAAGUCCUCAAAAUUAUUAACUGCAGAAUUGGAAAUAAAAAUAUGGCCAGAAAAUUUAAACAUUUUGUUAAUUCUUCAUUGCCAAGAAAUUAUUAUACCCCUAACUCAACGUAUGAAGAUGGGGUUAUAUUAAAUAAUACUGUUAAAUAUUUAAGGCAGUUAACUCUUUCGCAUUUCUCUUGGAUAGACAGCAAUAUUUUUGCCAUAGCACCAGGAGUUAUAUCCAGUCCACAAUGGAGACAAAACAUCAAAUCUAUUGAUUUCUCCAAAAACAAAUUGGGCUGGCUGGGAUGGAGGUUUCCUUUGUUAGAAGCGGCACGUCUGGAGAAAUUGGAAGAAGUUAUUAUUACAUUUCCAAACCCGGCAAAUGAAAUGUCAUAUCCUUAUCUAGAAGUUGAUAGUGGCAAGGAAAAUGUACAACCCUCAUUAUCUGUACCAACAUAUCUGGAUUUCUACAACAUACGAUCUUUCACUGGGUCAAGGACAACAAAUACAAUGAGUAAAUUUAAGAGUCUAAAAACCAAAGUCAAAUCUAACAAUCUAUCCUCAUCGUUAAAUUAUGAUGGAACUUUACAAGUUCUGCAUUGGAGGAAUGAUUUGCUGAAUAUUGAGCCCUUAAAAAAAAAGGUGGCUUCAGUUUUUGAUCCAACUUCAAAAUCUCAAAUUAGAUCAUUUGCCGCGCUUGGUUCUAUCAGUGAAGGAAGUCUAUUUCGAUUUUUAGAUAAACCUUUUUAUCAUGCGAGUUCUGCUAUUUGGACUUACAGACUGCCACCAUCGCUACGCACAAUUAAAGUUAUGUACACUAUCCAGGGAGAUAACGAAUACAGCAAUCAAAGUGUACAAUUCAUUCAGAUAGAUGGAAAGGCAUCUAACCUUACACAUGUCUAUUUUGUUGGUAACAGUAUAAACCGAGGUACCGGUAGAAUUAAGGGACUGACAAACAUUCAGUUUUGUGACUUUUCCAAAACUGCUGUUAUAGUUGAGCCCUAUUUUUUCGACGACUUUCCCACCUUGAGAUACCUAAUAUUGAGAUCCAUGAUGAACGAAGAUUUCUUUCAACGUGUCAGCAUCGACAGAAUCAUUCAGGACAUGCCAGAACUGAGAUAUUUAGAUCUUACAGACAAUAAACUCAAUUUUCUUCCUCCAAAUUUAUUUUCCAGAAACUCUCACAUUACUCAUGUGAUAUUGGCUAAAAAUAGAUUUUCCUCUUUUCCUAUCACGAUGGAUCUUGUUCCUAAUUUAAAAACUCUUGAUUUGUCUGGAAACGCUCUCAGCUAUCUAACGGAAAAAGAUUUGACGUCUCUUACAAAACACUCGGAAAAUGUUCCAUUUUUUUAUUUAGCUCUGGCUGAAAAUAAUAUUGUCUGUGUGUGUUCUCAGAUUAAAUUUAUGAUUUGGCUUAACAUUAGUGACUUUCUGGAUAACAAGGGAAAUUACACAUGCACAUCUCAGGAUGGACAACUUAUUUCAACUGAUUUAUUGUUACAAGAUGUUUCUGGAUUGUACAGACAAUGUUUUGGCUAGUAUUUGGAAGACGAUCUAAGAGUCUCUACAUUCAUCCAUCAUCGUGACCUGACUCCUGGCUACACUGACCAACAGAUGUUUGAGGCCAUGAGAGACAGUUGGAGGAUUCUUUUACUAAUCACAGAACAUUUUUUGAACCACUACGACCUCUCGGACAUUAUCAUGAAGUUUUCGAGAUCUGAGUGUGACAGAUGGCAGACGGACAUUUUGCACAGACCAGAAUAGCGGCUAUUCCCCUUACUGGGCCACUACUUUACUAUUAAUAGUAUUGCUGGGUAUUAAAGCUGUAUUUUUCUAUUAUUUAUUCAAACAGUUUGUUACUUUGUCGAAAUAAGGUUAGAAAUUUUUUAAAUUACUAUUAUAAGUAUAUCAAUCAGUGAUAUUUUUAUUUUUUUUUAACAACAAUUAUAUCAACUAAUUCUGUCUGGUAAAAAAAAAUUUGUACACGUUAUUGCUCCCAUACCUAAUCUCGGAUCAAGUUAAAAUUUUGCACCAUAUUUUCUUUACCUUACAGAAGAAAAAUCAAUUAAAAACAAUUAACCAAUCAGUUCAUUAACUAUUGUUUAGUGAUUAUUUUUUUCUGGUAUUAAAUAAAGGAAAAAAAUUGCAAUUACCAGAUGUGGUGGUUAAAAAGCAAAAACAAUGGCUAUGUUUGACUAGUCCGUUUCGUUUCUUUGAUUAAAAAGUUGAAUCACAAAUUGGGCCGGAAGUGGCUUUUUUCCUUAUAUAUCUUUGCAUUUUUCAGUUCUCUUUUUAAAUUAAACUGACAUUAUUAUGCUAUGAUUUUAAAUGUGCCUGAUAGAGAGAAAAAAUUCUGCACAAAAAUACGGGUAGUUGGAAUCAAACCCGAUAGAGGCUAUAAAAAUAAAAGACCUGAAAAUAGCGCGUGAAACUACACAUUUACAGUACUUUAUUUGAUGAGUAUUUUAUCCAAGAUCUGUGUUGUUUUUUUAGGACUAGCUUAUUUCAAGUACCCGGCAUUUUCCGAUACGCAAUUUCAUACACAAAAUAAUUGUUGAAAAAAUUGUAGUGAUUUUAAACUUUAAAUGAUUAGUUAAAAAGCUGUUACUCUAAUAAAUUUUGAAUAUUAUUUUGUUAUGAAUGUCACUGUCUAUUUUGUGUCUGUUCUAGUUUCUUAAAUUUUUCUUGAGUAAAGGGGUCGUGUUUUUUCCUAAUGGGUAUACCUGAUUUCUUCAAGUAGCCUUUGUAAAAUAUUGGUCCUAAAUAAUGCUAUGUUCAUAAACGAAAAAUCGCAAGGCUGCAUUAUGAUGAAUGUACGUGUUAGUUCAAUAUAUUUUAUAUUACUAUGUAACUAAAAAUAACUGUAUAAAUAGACGUAAGUUUUUUUUUUUUUCUGUUAGACAAAGUCAUAUGGCAAAUUUAUUGUUAAUAUCCUUAUUCUAAAAAGGAAUAAUAAAUAGAAUCAUACAGUAAAAAUA